CCAUGCGCUUUGUCGACAAACACAAAUUCCCGUGACGCUGCGUCGCAACAGCCAACCGGCUUUGAGAAUAUAUACAACGUCCUGGAGUUCUUCAACAUAGCAAUGGAGGAUCAAAUGAUCGUCGCUGUUUGAGGGCAUCCAGAACUUUUCGAUAACUCCUGCUAUCAAUUACCGGGACCGUACGAAAAAAAGAGCAAACCUGGAGACUGGGGAGCGUAUCUGCUGUAGGGCACGUUUGGAAUUUGUCAGCUUUGUCAAGUGUGGCCAGAGAGAAAGACAGAGGAUGCAGCAAUAGCCCACCAGCCCCCAGCGUGGACUGCUACCACGGCUGUGGCCUCCUGGAGCACGACACCACUACCCUAAACGGUUUGUUCACGACUGUGAAGGGUUAAAUGCACAGGACAAAUUAGUUGGUGUUUCCCAGCACCGUCACGCUGGCCAGUGGGGACUUCAGUUUGGCUCUUCUCUUAUCUACGAACAGCUUCACACUACAUGUUAGACUGCGAAACAAGAGGGAAUAAAACUCUGGGCCUCCCGUAUGCCAAUGUGAGGGGAGCGAUUCUUCGCCACGAGGCGUACACCUUGAGGCCACCGACAGACCGAUUGCUUGCGGAAUAGCAGGCGGCCAACGUAGGACGCUAACAGUUUGGGAAGACACAGGAGUUUGUUUUUAAAGAAAUGUAUUUUAAUUAGAAAAUAUUUUGAUUAUUGUUUAAAGUUGAAUACUAUGUACAGCUGUGUUUUUUUUCCCCCAAUAAAGUUGAGUUGAACUUUG
Molecule: long non-coding RNA, 775 nt
Organism: Phyllopteryx taeniolatus (common seadragon)
Lineage: Eukaryota; Metazoa; Chordata; Actinopteri; Syngnathiformes; Syngnathidae
Exons: 3
Source: RefSeq, a predicted model, not a curated record